GUGCUCGCUUCGGCAGCACAUAUGCUAAAAUUGGACUGAUACAGAGAAGAUUAGCAUGGCCCCUGUGCAAGGAUAACAUGCAAAUUCGUAAAGCGUUCCAUAUUUAA
Acomys russatus (golden spiny mouse) is the source of this 107-nucleotide small nuclear RNA. The record is from RefSeq and is a predicted model, not a curated record. NCBI's taxonomy places the organism in Eukaryota, Metazoa, Chordata, Mammalia, Rodentia, Muridae.